Molecule: ribosomal RNA, 254 nt
Filed under: uncultured bacterium
Lineage: Bacteria
Description: partial 16S ribosomal RNA
Rfam family: Bacterial small subunit ribosomal RNA
Source: RNAcentral
UACGUAGGGGGCAAGCGUUGUCCGGAAUUAUUGGGCGUAAAGAGCUCGUAGGCGGUGUGUCGCGUCGGCCGUGAAAACCUGUGGCUUAACUGCGGGCUUGCGGUCGAUACGGGCAUCACUGGAGUUCGGCAGGGGAGACUGGAAUUCCUGGUGUAGCGGUGAAAUGCGCAGAUAUCAGGAGGAACACCGAUGGCGAAGGCAGCACUCUGGGCCGGUACUGACGCUGAGGAGCGAAAGCGUGGGGAGCAAACAGG